CUGCUCCAUGAAAUCAAUUUAAAUAGCUGCAGUAUAUUAACUGUACAAAGGUAGCAUAAUCAAUAGUUUUUUAAUUAAAAGCUGGAAUGAAUGAUUUCAUGAGAUAGAUACUGUUUCAAAUUUAAAUUUAGAAUUUUUUUUUUAGUUAAAAAGCUAAAUUGAAUUAAAAAGACGAGAAGACCCUAUAGAUUUUAAUAAUUUUAUAAAUUAUUAAUUAUUUAUUAUAUAUUUAUUGAUUAAUAAAAUUAUUUGAUUGGGGUGAUUUUUGAAUUUAAUUAACUUUAAAUUUUUAAAACAAUAAUAUUUGAUUAUUUGAUCCUUGAAUAAAGAUUAUUAGAUUAAAAUACCUUAGGGAUAACAGCGUAAUUUUUUUGGAGAGAUCAUAUUGAUAAAAAAGUUUGCGACCUCGAUGUUGAAUUAAGAUAAAAUUUAAAUGGAGAAAUUUAAAAUUUUUGGUCUGUUCGACC
RNAcentral lists this ribosomal RNA (467 nucleotides) under Xorides sp. RNAcentral's name for it is "partial 16S ribosomal RNA". The stretch from base 354 to 467 matches the Rfam family "Bacterial large subunit ribosomal RNA", at positions 2473 to 2586 of the family's 2925-position model. The record is from RNAcentral. Lineage: Eukaryota; Metazoa; Arthropoda; Insecta; Hymenoptera; Ichneumonidae.